This 1700-nucleotide small RNA is filed under the name Pan troglodytes (chimpanzee). Its description in RNAcentral is "retained intron". The record is from RNAcentral. Lineage: Eukaryota; Metazoa; Chordata; Mammalia; Primates; Hominidae.
CUUGUGACAAGGCUCCAACCUCAGGCCCUUGAGGGACAAAGCCAGCUCUCUCCUCCACAACUGUCCCUCGACUGCUUCCUACCCCACCCUACCCUCACUGUCUUUGUCACCCUACCCCACAGCCUUCCUCUCCGGUUCUGGGUGAACAUCCUGAAGAACCCCCAGUUUGUCUUUGACAUCGACAAGACAGACCACAUCGACGCCUGCCUUUCAGUCAUCGCGCAGGCCUUCAUCGACGCCUGCUCCAUCUCUGACCUGCAGCUGGGCAAGGAUUCGCCAACCAACAAGCUCCUCUACGCCAAGGAGAUUCCUGAGUACCGGAAGAUCGUGCAGCGCUACUACAAGCAGAUCCAGGACAUGACGCCACUCAGCGAGCAAGAGAUGAAUGCCCAUCUGGCCGAGGAGUCGAGGAAAUACCAGAAUGAGUUCAACACCAAUGUGGCCAUGGCAGAGAUUUAUAAGUACGCCAAGAGGUAUCGGCCGCAGAUCAUGGCCGCGCUGGAGGCCAACCCCACGGCCCGGAGGACACAACUGCAGCACAAGUUUGAGCAAGUGGUGGCUUUGAUGGAGGACAACAUCUACGAGUGCUACAGUGAGGCCUGAGACACAUGGAGAGUUGGUCAGGCUGCUGCUGGGAGAAAUGGACGCCCACUGGGCCUCAACUUGAUCUUCUACCCCGUGCCUGUGACUCAGACUGGGAAAUACUGAGCAGAGACGGCUGGGGCGGGGGCAGGAGGAGGGGCUGCUCUCUGAGACAGGGGCGCCCCCGCCUUGACCCCUGGGCACCUCCAUCCCCUCCCACCUGUCCCCAGAUCAGUCUCCGGGAUGGAGGCCAGAGAGCUGGUCAGGCUCCCCCGUCUGCCCAGCACGGCCUGCACUGUGCCCACCCACUUGCUCCACAACGUCCAGUUGGUCCUGCUGCCAAGAGCCCCGUGCAUCCAGGCAGCCAAGCACAAACUGGGGGAGAGGAGGCCGCCAGCCCGGAGGCUGCAGCCCAGAAACUCUACCUCAUCCACACUGGUGCAGGGAGCCCUCCUUGAACUGACCUUCGAUUGGUUUCUGCUUCAACUACCAAAAUGUUAUCUCCACUUCCCCCUCACCCAUAGAGGAUCCUGGCCACAGACAGUUUCAAGUAGUGUCAGAUUUUUGUUGCUUGGGCGGCUGUUGGUAGAGUGGGCAGUGCCCGCGCCAUGGGGUGCUCUGUGGGCUUCUCCAGGAGCAGGGAGGGUGGAGGGGAGGGAUGGGGGGCACAGGAGCUGGGAGCCCCGUCUCCAGGAAAAGGAGAGGGGUUAAGAUGCACCGAGGCUGUAGCUGGGCUACUUGAUCUUGCUGAAAGUGUUUCUAAAGAUAGCACCACUUCUUUUUUAAAGCUUUUAUAUAUUAAAAAACGUAUCAUGCACCAACUGUGAAUAGCUGCCGCUUGCGCAGAGGACCCGGGGAGGGGUCCCGAGAGGCUCCCCAUGCAACACUGGAAAUGACUGUUCCAGAGAGCGGGCAGACCUGGCAGAGCACCCCUGGCGCCUGAGACCACCACCCAUUCCGUUCCUGCCAGAAACGACCCUCUGUGGCCGAUGGGCCAUGCGGGCCCCUCGCAGCCAACUCAGCCAGUGUUGGGACUGGCUCAGAGCCCAUGGGGGCUGGAGGGGGGCAGCUGGGACUCUGGAAUCUUCUUUAUAAUAAAAGCCUUAUGGACAAACCUA